UCCAGACUCCUACGGGAGGCAGCAGUGAGGAAUGUUGGUCAAUGGGCGAGAGCCUGAACCAGCCAAGUCGCGUGAGGGACGACGGCCCUACGGGUUGUAAACCUCUUUUGCCGGGGGACAAACGGCGGCACGCGUGCCGUCCUGAGGGUACCCGGAGAAAAAGCAUCGGCUAACUACGUGCCAGCAGCCGCGGUAAUACGUAGGUGGCGAGCGUUAUCCGGAAUGAUUGGGCGUAAAGGGUGCGCAGGCGGUCCUGCAAGUCUGGAGUGAAACGCAUGAGCUCAACUCAUGCAUGGCUUUGGAAACUGGAGGACUGGAGAGCAGGAGAGGGCGGUGGAACUCCAUGUGUAGCGGUAAAAUGCGUAGAUAUAUGGAAGAACACCAGUGGCGAAGGCGGCCGCCUGGCCUGUUGCUGACGCUGAGGCACGAAAGCGUGGGGAGCAAAUAGGAUUAGAUACCCGAGUACA
RNAcentral lists this ribosomal RNA (467 nucleotides) under uncultured bacterium. RNAcentral's name for it is "bacterial SSU rRNA". It matches the Rfam family "Bacterial small subunit ribosomal RNA", at positions 330 to 794 of the family's 1533-position model. The record is from RNAcentral.